AUUGAACGCUGGCGGCAUGCUUUACACAUGCAAGUCGAACGGUAACAGGGAGCUUGCUCCGCUGACGAGUGGCGAACGGGUGAGUAAUAUAUCGGAACGUACCCAAGAGGUGGGGGAUAACGUAGCGAAAGUUACACUAAUACCGCAUACGAUCUAUGGAUGAAAGCGAGGGGGACCCGCAAGGUCCUUGUGCCUCCUGG
Molecule: ribosomal RNA, 200 nt
Filed under: uncultured bacterium
Lineage: Bacteria
Description: partial 16S ribosomal RNA
Rfam family: Bacterial small subunit ribosomal RNA
Source: RNAcentral